UUUGGAUUCAGAAUAUUUUAAUAGUUUUUCCUGAAUUCUGAGUCCUCCAGACCUAUUUUAUUGCCUGAAAGACUUGAUACUGUGUUGCUCAAAAAGCUAAGAAGCUGUAAAUCCUAACUAUUUGCGGUCAGGACAUGGAUCCUUUCCGGUCAUUGAGUUCUGUUGAAGCUUGGUUUUCAGCUAACAUUGGCAUUUAAUGAUGGGUGAAUAUGCAUCUUCGGCUUUUGAGUCUCUUGGUGAGUUCUGCAGUCUCAUGAAUUAUCAAUACUUCUUUCACCAAUUUGCUUAGUGUACGGUAAUAUGCACGUGAAAUGCUAAAUUUGCUACAUUUUACCUUCUUUCCUGUUAGAUAUGUUUUAGUGAGCUGAUUAUCUAUUGUGCUCUCUGUCAGGUUGACAGGCAUCAUGGACAUAAUGAUGAAUUUAAACUGGAAAACUAAAUUCUAGUCUCUGUAUUGUGCUGUUCUUAGUGUGAACUUUGGCAUUAAUCUGAUCUGUGCAGUGUCUUUGGAGACGAUAUGUUCAGAUCUUAUAGGAAAAGAUGAUUGAAGGCUAUUAUUUCUACCCUAGCAUUGAAGUUGGUUCUGGGAACUAGCACUGACGUGUUAUCUUAUGGGUCCACAAUGUGAUUUUAUCAACUUCAGGUUCAAAACCAGAUACUGCAGUCCCUCAAGUGCUUACCUCAAUUGAUGGCACAGUUCUAAGGAUUAUAUAUUAUUGGCUUAUGGCAAAUUCAGUAUCCAACUCAUGGAAACCACCUCAGACUCCAUUGUUUCUCAUCUUGAAUAACCUCUGAGCUUGCUUGUCAAUCCAUCCAACUUACUUCCUCUGGUGGCUGAAGAUCCAGGAGAGAUAUUUUGAAAAUACUAAGCCGGUAGAUUAUCUCAUUCAUAGUAGAAUUUUGAGGAACAUUUAUUCUUUAUUGGUGCUUUGUAGAUGACAUUCACAUGGUAGAAGGCAAAUUUGUAUUUGUUGGUAAACUUUCUUGUUUUCUCUAGUAUGCAUGGUAUAUAACAUUUAUUUCUUUUAUAUGUAUAGGUUCCAUAAUGCUGAUGACAAGGAAUCAAAUAUCAGUCAGACCAAUAUUACUAAUGCAAGGAAUCAAUACUGGAAGGAUCAGAACUAUAUAGCCUAGAUUACCGAUUGACGGAUCUGGAAAAGAAUAAUUGCCAGUUGCUUGGAAUAUCAUCAUUGCAUAUAGAGUUUGGAUGAUCUGAAAGGAAAAAGAGGGUGGAGCUGGACGUGUGAUUAGAGACAGAUCGGAAAAUGUGCUUUGACAAGCUGUUCCUACAUAUUCCUAUUAGCAUGAUUGGUUGGUAUUAAAUGACUUUUGAGGUAGACUCUUGAUGUAGAAUACAUUAUGAGAAUGCUGAAUGAGGAGGAUCAACCAUCUUUUGAAUAAACAAAUCUCUAACUUAAUAAUGUAAUUCACCUUUUUUAACUCGCACAAUUUGCUAAAAAUUUGAUCAAAAAGAAGUAAUUGGUCGAGUAGGAUUGUAUUUUAUGCUCCA
Musa acuminata subsp. malaccensis (wild Malaysian banana) is the source of this 1510-nucleotide non-coding RNA. The record is from RefSeq and is a predicted model, not a curated record. Lineage: Eukaryota; Viridiplantae; Streptophyta; Magnoliopsida; Zingiberales; Musaceae.